Molecule: ribosomal RNA, 213 nt
Filed under: uncultured bacterium
Lineage: Bacteria
Description: partial 16S ribosomal RNA
Rfam family: Bacterial small subunit ribosomal RNA
Source: RNAcentral
GUCUCAGUUCGGAUUGAAGGCUGAAAUUCGCCUUCAUGAAGCCGGAGUUGCUGUAAUGGCAGGUCAGCAUACUGCCGUGAAUACGUUCCCGGGCCUUGUACACACCGCCCGUCACACCAUGAGAGUUGGGAAUACCCGAAGCCUGUGAGCUAACGUAAGAGGCAGCAGUCGAAGGUAGAAUCAAUGAUUGGGGUGAAGUCGUAACAAGGUAAC